This 7945-nucleotide long non-coding RNA is filed under the name Mus musculus (house mouse). RNAcentral's name for it is "long non-coding RNA chr13:36612880-36620825". The record is from RNAcentral. Lineage: Eukaryota; Metazoa; Chordata; Mammalia; Rodentia; Muridae.
UCCUGGAACAAUCAUUUCAAGCUCCAGAUUUGCACAGCAGGUCCAAGAUCCUGGCUUCAGGCAGCAGCUCGCUGCUCAGUCUUAUAUCACACAAAAGAGCUUUGCCCAGGCGCGUCGCCCGCUCUUUUCAUCCAAUCCUCUCCUGACAGGCAGUCUGGAAAGAAAGCGUACUCAUAUUGAUUCCGAAGGCACAAUUGGAACUCCGGCAUUUUCUUCUGGGCUCAGGGGUCGAGACGAAGGGGUUGGCAGUGCUGGCUGGGAAGCAAAGGAACAGCAGACACACAGGAGCUGAAGUGACAGUAAAUGAAGCUGUGGUCUUCAGGCUUAGGUGGAGUCGGGCGGGCGUUCUGCGCAUCUGUACCUCCGACAAAUGGAUUUGGUCCUCAGUUCCAGCCAUCAUCUGAUUUCAAGUUUGGUUACCUAGGAAACAGAGGGCACACUGCUGGGACAGUCAGCCCGUGUUCUGUGCCGACCAAAGCUAUUAAAACCCAUCAAGUCAGCCUCGGAGAAGCUGAGCACGGACAGUUUCAACUUCCAGCCAGGUAUUUAUUUAUUUAUUUCCCUGCAUCAGCAGCAAGAUGAGUUAUUGAACCACUCAGUCUAUCGAUUGGGGCAGCUUUCCCCUCCACAUCCUCUUGGUCUCCAAAGCCCCUGUGGAGUUGGUGGCAGCCUGGAAGCCCUUUGUUGAUAGCUAGUCCACAGCAGGGAAGCCAGGCAGCAUUAAUCCUCCAGGAGCCAGCACUGGGGUCAGAGCUGUGGUUAGACAGGCGUCCUGACUCAAAUCUUAUUCUUUCCUGUUUCAUUCUGGAAAAGUACACUAAAACACACGCCUAAAACCCCAGCAUUAGAAGGCUGAGGCAGGAGGAUCAUUGCAAAUUCAAGGCCAGCCUAUGCCACACACCAAGAUUUUAUCUCAAGAGCCAAACAUUAAAGUCCUUAAUAAUAUGUUGAUAAGGGCUCUGAUUCCUCAACAGCAACUACUCUGGAGUCUUGCCAGUCUCCUGCCAACUCUGUUUAGACCUUAAAAAAAAAAUCUCAGGUAGGAGACUAGAGAGAUGCUCAAUGGUUAGGGACAUUUGUUCUGCUUCUAGGCAAUGCAGGUUUGAUUCUCAGCACCUAUAUGGUGGUUAACAACUGUCUGUAACUUCAGUUCCAAGAGACCUGAUGCCCCCUUCUGGGCUCUGAAGACAUAAGACACACAUAUGGUGCACAGACAUGUGUACUGACAGAACCCUCACACACAUAAGAUAAGUAGAUCUUUAAAACCAGCAAUUAAAAGUAUUACCAUCAGCCUCAUUUGUCUGCAGGACCCAUGUUCACAGAUCCCACAAUGAGCAGAAAAUACUGAUGGAAUGGAAUGGAAUCUGAACUGAACACACACACACACACACACACACACACACACACACACAGAGAGAGAGAGAGAGAGAGAGAGAGAGAGAGAGAGAGAUUUCUGUCUUUAUUUCCCAAACAAUACAGUGUAAUGAUUAUUUACACUGCAUAUAACUAUGGUAGGUAGUCAAUCCUCAAGAGGUGACUUAAAGUGCAAGAGAGGGUGUCUGCAGACUCUGUGCCAAUACUGUUCUGUUCUGUAACAGACUCCAGUACUUGAACCUCUGUAGCUUUCCUGUCUGUGAGUGUCCUGGAGUGAGUGUUCACUGAGAUAUGUCACCAUUGUCUGCAUAUGCCCCUGUUUUCUGAUAAGAAUUCCUGGCCUUUCUCUUGACACAGCCCUUCCACUGCAGUACUCACCUAUUGCUGAGUAACAAAGGCCUUCAAAUUCUGGCAGCUUCAUACAGUAAACAUGGAUCCUCUCUCUCAGUUUGGGAGAUCUCCUGUAGCUGAGGGGUCUGGUUUAGGAUCUGUAUGGAGAUAGGUCAGCUCUCAGCUGCAGAUAGGCUGUUUUGGCAUUUGCUUAUGUGGUUGUAAGAGGCUUAGCUCCUCACUGUGUUGACUUAGUAGCAGGAUCACCAGAAUGUCCUCAAGAGGAGACAACUCUCCAAAAAAUGUGAGAAAGAAAGAAGCCAGAAUCUUCUAUAGCCCAGUCUUGUAAGAGGCUCUUGGGUGUGUGUCUGUGCAACAACAGAUAGAAAUUAAAUUGAGAAAUUGCUUCUGAGUGGAAUAUGCCUGGACACUUCCUUGCCAUUAUUAUCCAAACAGUGUAACAACUAUUAAAAGAGAAUCUACACUGUGUUCAACAUCACAAGAACGUGAAGAUGCUUUCCCUACAGCAGAGGAUAUUAGGUCACAUGCAAAUGCUAUAUUUGGUCACUGUGGGUUUUCAGCACAAGUCCUGGCAUGAAUCCCCCAUGGACACUGAGGGACAGUUGUCUUACUUAAACAUCCCUUCAAACUGCGGUGGUAUUUCCACAAAACUAGUUCAGAAACUGGACCAUGACUCUACAGACAAGUGUCUCCGUCUCCAGGUGUCGAUGGCUGGCGUUUCUGAGCAGCAUGAAAUCACAUCAGGUUCAUUCAUCAAAUCUGACCGACGAAGGCACCAAGGUGCCACGAAGUUAAGUGACCUGAGCCUGUUCACAUAGAAGAUGAGAAAAGGAGCUCUGUCUUACACCCCUAGCUUUCCUUUAGCUUGUAAAACUCAGGCAUUUAUUGCUCACAGUUCUAGACACCAAGAGUUUGAAUCUGGGGUGCUGGCAAGAUGUUUUAUACACCCGGUUCCAGGCUCACAGGAGACUCCUCACAUGUUGAUGGAACAAAAUGGCUUCCUUACAACUCUUCAGGCUUGUUUUUUUUAUGCAUUUCUACUUUAAAUUGAUGCAUCAUAUUUGUCCAUAUUUGUGAAGUACAGUGUGAUUAUAUGUAUACAUUCAUAUAUGUACACAUAUAUGUAUAUACAGUGGUACAUUAUAUGUACACACUAUUUAGUAAUCAGGCUAAUUGGUACCUUUAAAAUAUAUCAUUCAAGAUCCUUUCUAUCAACUAUUUUGAAAUAUUCAAGUAACUGUUUCAAACACAGCCACUCCACCAUGCUGUAGAGCAUUGGAGAUUCAUUUUCCUAUUUAACUGUAUCCUGUUCUUAGCUACUGUCUUCAUCCUUCUCUCCCCAGCUCUCUUCCCAAGCACACAGCCCAUCCUCUUAAUACUGUGCCAUGCUGGGGUCCCUCAGACAAUUGUUUCUUCAUAAUCCUUCCUUAUAGAGAUGCCAUUUACUAAAAGGCUGGUGAGGUCUUGGGUUUCUCUCUCACAUCAAUUAUUUUACAUGCCAUUUGGUAGCUGAUAACUCACUGUCGAGAGUCUCAAGGUGAGACUCACCAUGUAAAGCCAAGAUCAGUGAGUAGAGGGGAACUGUGGUGGCUUGAAUAGGUAUGGCCCUCAUAGACUCAUGUGCUUGGAUGCUUGGCUCAUUGGGAGUGGCACUGUUAGAAGGUCUUGUUGGAAAGGUGUGGACUCAUUGAAGGAAGUGUUUCACUGUGGGGAUAGGCUUUGAGAUCUCAGGUGCUCAAGCUAGGCCUGCUGUCAUUUUGAUUUUGCUGCCUGCCGAUUGAGAUGGAGAACUUCUCUAUCACCAUGUCUGUAUACACGCCACCAUGUCUUCUGCCAUGAUGAUAAUGGGCAAAACCUCUAAAACUGUAAGCCAGCCCCAACGAAAUGUUUUCCUGUAGGAGAGUUGCCUUGGUCAUGAUAUCUUUUCACAGCAGUGGAAACCCUAAGACAUCAACCAAGCCUCUGCUGUCAACCUCUUCUGCCCACAUCACAACAAGUGUUCUGAUACUAGGGGAUGCAUGCUUAGUAGUUCCUGGAAAUUUUUACGGAAGACAUAAUCUUGCCUGGGCUGUGCAUUAACAAACUGACUCCUACACUGUGUUAAAUAUUACAGUCUUGGCAAUGGAAGGAUGACAACAAAACGCCAUUGGUGCCACCUGCAGAUGCAGCUUGCCGUGUGAACCAAAGUGCCAAUGUUGAAAUUCUAGCUGGCACACUAUGUUAUUUCAUUCCUGAAAUUCAAGGUUUUCUUCUAUGACUCCAUUCAGCACAUCUUUCUUGAAUACAUUCUAUGCUCUGUCAUUCAGCAUGACAAUCAGUGACAAGGUAGGCAUCUGGUGCUACCACCCUUAGCCAUGGGCCCUGAGUAAAAGAUGCUUAAUGCUUAUCUGGGUGGCUGAUUGGACUACUUGUAGAUAUAUCAGAUGUCUGGUCAGGAUUCUGGACUGCCGGUCAAUUCUCAGGAAUGGGAUCUGGGGUGUAUGUACUAUGGGGUCUGUGUUGUGCGUCCCAACAUCUCCUUUUAGAAGCAAAUCUAAUUUGUGAAAAUGAGCCAUUUGUUUAAAAAAGAAUGGGAAUUACCAGAAUGACUGCUUAUGGAGUGCCUCUUAGAUGUCAGGAACAAACACUCUGCAGGCAUUUUAAUUCCAACAUAAUUCUCAUGAGCACUUAAUGAAGUAGGCCUGGUAGCGAGUACCAGUCAAGUGUGUGCUCGAGGUGAUGCAGUUAGUAGAUGGUGCUGGACUUUGAACUUGGAUCAGCUGGAGUCCACAGCCUAUGGGUCUGAGCCUUAGGUAAGUCAGUUUCAUGUAGCCGUGUGUUCUACAGUCAGAGCUUCAACUACCCAAAGAUUGAGAAAACAUAGCAUCUAGAAAGAACACAUGCAGAUUUAGUCUUAUCAUCUUUACCUGCGUGAUACAAUACAGCAUCCACAUCAGUUACUUUUCUCACUGCUGUGGAAAAAUACUCAGCAAACACAACUUUGAAAUAGAAUGUGUGUGUGUGUUUACUUAAAUUAUUUUAAAACCUGAGUGCUUCCCUACCCCUACCCCCACAGAAAUCCAUCAACUGUGAAGAGCUAUCCUUCAGCAUCCCCCAUUCCUGUCACGAUUUUUGAGCAGUCUUUUCAAUGGCUUCCUGUCUAGAUUGGUUUUGGGAGGUGGGAUUGGAGGGAGGGGAAAGGUGGUCACAGAAGCCUUCUAUGUCUCUCAGCUGUGAGUCUGAAGUCAUUGAUUCCACUGUAGAAGUUUCCUAGCCCUUUAAGGUCAGUGAGAGCAUUGGUCAUAGACUUCCACAUGGUCUCUGGCUAUAAAAUAGGCCAAGGACAUCAACACAGACCACAAACAUUCCCAUGGCCUUUGGUGAUAACAUGGGCCACAGAGAUCAACACAGCUCCUGACAGCAGCAAAGACCACAGACAUCACCAUGGUUUCAGAAGGCAUCACAGACUAUGGACAUCCACAAGGCCUUUGGUCAUAACAUGAGCCAUGGAUACCCAAAUGGCCCCCAGAAGCAGAAGGAAGGACUAAGGACACCAACUUGGCCCUCUGUGGCACAAUGGACCUCGGAUAUCACCAUGACCUUAGGCAGUAGCACCAGCUAUACAUAUAAACGUGGCCUUGGAGGUAACAAGGGUCACACAUCAAUUCUGCCUUCAGUGGUAAUAUGGACCAAAAACAUUAACACAGUGGAUUCAGGUAGCAGCACGGAUCACAGACACUUCCCGGCCUUCAGGGGUAAUGAAGACCGUGGAAGCCAUCGUGGCCCCUGGCUGCAGUAGGGCCACUGACACCAACAUGGCCUCAGAUUAUUUCAUCGUUUUUUUUUUUUUUUUCUUCUUCUUUUGUUUUGAGAGAGGUCACAAAUAUGGGGGUUGACCUGGGAGGACUGGGAAGUGAAUGUGAUGGGGGGUUCACUAUGUGAAAUUUCCAAAUAAUCAAUACAAUUAUUAUGUUAUUAAAAGAAGAAAUUGUCUCAGAAAAAAUUUAAAUGUAAAAAAAUUUAAAAUAUUAUUUUAAUUAUGAGUACAGGUGUAAUUAUGUGUAUGUUACCUAUGUGUGGAUGCCCCUGGGGUUACAGGCCUUUGACCCCCUGGGACUGGAUUUACAGGUCAUUGUGAGUCUCCCAAAGUGGUUGAUGAGAACUGGAUGAGGGUCCUUUUUGAGAGAUGUGUGUGCUCUUAACCACUGAGCCAUCUCUUCAGCCCCAGGGAUGGCUUAUUUUGCCUCAGAGUUGAAGGGUACAAAUCUAGCAUGGUAGAGAAGUCAUGGUUGUAGCAGUAUGAGGUUGCUGGACACAUUGUGCUCAGAGUCAGGAAGCAGAAAGAGAGAGAUGGAAGUGGGGACCCAGACCUUAUUCCGUCUGGGACCCAGACCAUGAAAUGGUUGCUGCUCACAUUUAAGGUGGGUCAUCUCUGCUCUGUUAAACCUUUCUGUAAGGACCCCUCAUAGACAUACCCAAAGGUGUGUCUCUUAGGUGAUUCUAAACUCCACUAAGUUCACAAUCAAGACUGACUAUCACUGUAUCAUAAAUAAUCUAGAGAUGAACUGAAGUAUAUAAAAAUAUACCUAUGGGUUAUGCAUAAACACUAUGCUGCUUUAUACAAGGGAUAUGAGAGCAUCUUCCAUUUUUGGUAUGUGUUUUAGUGUUGCUAUUGCUGUGAAGAGACAUCAUGACCACAGCAACUCUUAUAAAGGAAAACAUUGAAUUGGGGCUGGCUUACAGGUUUAGCCCAUUACCUUCAUGGUGGGAAGCAUGGUGGCACACAGGCAGACAUGAUGCUGGAGAAAGAGCCGAGAGUUCUACUUCUGGAUAGGCAGGCAGCAGCAAGCUUAAGUUUCUGAAACCUCAAUUCAUUCCCCCAGUGACACACUUCCUCCAAUAAGGCCACACCUACACCAGCAAGGCCAUAUGUCCUAAUCCUUACAAAUAUUGCCACUCUCUAUGAGCCAAUGGGGAUUUUUUUUCAUUCAAACCACAGUACCCCAGAGAUAUCAUAGAACCAUUCUUUUACAGAUAGUAGAAGAAAACUAUACUACAUGGUCAUCCACAUUAUCCAUGAAAAUUGUUUAUACCAGUUGAUCAAGCCUAUGCCUGGCCUUGGUCUCAGCUGACACAUUUGCCACUGCCUCCACCCAUGCUUUGAGAUGUCAACAGACUUCAAACUUCAUUUAGUAGCCCUUCAGUCACAAGGCAGAUAACUAAUAUCAGGAUUUUUCUCUGACUGUUUGGCUUUCUCCAUAAUAAUGCAGCUUAAUUAAGCUAGCCUCCCAAAGAGCUGCUCAGCUGAGACUGGCAGAGAGGAUUUGAAUUAAUCUUUCUUCUCUUAGAUGAUCCCAAGUCAAACUCAUUCAUGCCCACACAGGGAUGCGCUCUUCACCUGCAUGAUGGAAUUAAAAGAAGAAAUCCUCACUACAUUUACUAGACCAUGUGCGGAUGCUCAAACUAUGAUGUGCCUCCAACUCUUCAAUGCGGAUCCCUGGGCACUGAGCUAGUUCUAUUGAAUUGCUAUCUUAGGGAUAGUGGACCUGAUAGUCAUGGUAAUGAACACAGGACUGUAUCAUUUAAUUGGAUGGAAGAGAUAUCACUGGCACUUGGUUGGAUGCCUGAUCAUAUCUGAACUAGCUGAGGUCACAGUUGCAUGCAGCCCUAGGUUCAAGCCCUGAUUGUACCACUUUGAAGAUGGCUGACCUUCCAAAAAUUGUUUACGCCCUUUGGCUUCUUUUACGACAUGGUCUCUGUAGCUUUAGCUGUCCUGGAACUUGUUCUGUAGACCAGACUGGCCUCAAAGUCAAUGAUCUGCCUGCCUGUGCUUUCUGGGAUUAAAGGUGUGUACCACAACACCUGACUGGCUUUUAUUUCUUAUCAGUAAAAUGCAACGGACAACACUAUUCUGCCUUCAUUACAGCUAUUGCUGAUAAGGUCAUAGAUGAGCAUCUAAGCAUCUGGCACACUUGCCUGAUAAAUGAUGUUGCUGUACCUGCAGUUAUUUUGUUAUUCUAGAACUUCCAUGAUUCUUGAUACAAGUAGCUCAUAUUUUUAGUCCUAUUAGCACAUGUUUUAAUGGAACACCUUAGAACUGUGUAGUGUGUGUGCAGGCAUGUAUGUGUGUGUGUGUGUGUGUGUGUGUGUGUGUGUGUGUGUAAAUGGGUGUGCAUGUAUAGGUGUUGAAAGACCCCCAAAGGGAGACCCCCACUCAAGUCUCUGGAUAGCUGCGGACCCC